This 420-nucleotide ribosomal RNA is filed under the name Globigerina bulloides. RNAcentral's name for it is "partial 18S ribosomal RNA". It matches the Rfam family "Eukaryotic small subunit ribosomal RNA", at positions 1166 to 1411 of the family's 1831-position model. Lineage: Eukaryota; Foraminifera; Rotaliida; Globigerinidae. The record is from RNAcentral.
ACCACAAGAGCGUGGAGUAUGUGGCUUAAUUUGACUCAACGCGGAAAAGCUUAUCUGGUCCGGACGCAGUGAGGAUUGACAGACAGUUAGACAGAAGUGGUUUAGGUAACAAUUGAGAGAGUUGAAGUUCUUUCAUGAUCUUGUGAGAGGUGGUGCAUGGCCGUUCUUAGUUCGUGUAGUGAUAUGUCUGCCUAAUCGCGUCACGAUAACCUAUUGGUCGACAACCCAAUUAUCACAACUGCAGCAUAACUCCCCUUGGGUGGGCGAGGCUCUGUGUAGGAUAGACCUCUGAACAGUACGCAACGAACGCGAUCGUAAUCCCUUGUUGAGUGGCCAUCCUGUAAGCUGCUGGAUUAGGAACCCAGUGGUAUUAUCUCAGCCACAGAUUUUCUGGUUGUAGUGGGCCAUUUUGAAACUCCG